AGUGAACGCUGGCGGUAGGCCUAACACAUGCAAGUCGGACGGUAGCACAGAGAGCUUGCUCUCGGGUGACGAGUGGCGGACGGGUGAGUAAUGUCUGGGGAUCUGCCCGAUAGAGGGGGAUAACCACUGGAAACGGUGGCUAAUACCGCAUAACGUCGCAAGACCAAAGAGGGGGACCUUCGGGCCUCUCACUAUCGGAUGAACCCAGAUGGGAUUAGCUAGUAGGCGGGGUAACGGCCCACCUAGGCGACGAUCCCUAGCCGGUCUGAGAGGAUGACCAGCCACACUGGAACUGAGACACGGUCCAGACUCCUACGGGAGGCAGCAGUGGGGAAUAUUGCACAAUGGGCGCAAGCCUGAUGCAGCCAUGCCGCGUGUAUGAAGAAGGCCUUCGGGUUGUAAAGUACUUUCAGCGGGGAGGAAGGCGAUGUGGUUAAUAACCGUAUCGAUUGACGUUACCCGCAGAAGAAGCACCGGCUAACUCCGUGCCAGCAGCCGCCGUAA
RNAcentral lists this ribosomal RNA (504 nucleotides) under uncultured bacterium. RNAcentral describes it as "partial 16S ribosomal RNA". It matches the Rfam family "Bacterial small subunit ribosomal RNA", at positions 29 to 523 of the family's 1533-position model. The record is from RNAcentral.